This 1078-nucleotide long non-coding RNA is filed under the name Homo sapiens (human). Its description in RNAcentral is "HSALNT0357244". Lineage: Eukaryota; Metazoa; Chordata; Mammalia; Primates; Hominidae. The record is from RNAcentral.
UGCUUUUCUGGAGUGAUAAUGUGCUUGCCUGUGUCUAAGAGAAAGGUGAAGAAUUGGGAAACCCAUGGGUGUCACGAAGGGUGGUGAGACUGGGGAACGUUUUAGAAAACCUGUACCCUGGCUGAUAAAUGGGACUUGGAUUUUAAAUACCAUUGGAUAAUAAAUGUAUGUGAUGGCUUUGGAGCAAAUUGAUUGACAAUGGCUAGGAGACAGCUUCCCAAGGCUGGAAAGAGGGGAGUGCGGAACAUGCCUCCACCAUACCACUGCCCACCUCCUGUGACCUCUGCAGCAAAACCUGAAGCCCCAAAGAGGCAGCUUCUCAAAGUAAAAGUGGAAUGAAGUUCCUGGUGACCUGAAUUCCCAUGGAGGAAAGAGGAAAAGGACAUUAUGCAAGGAGAUGGCAUCUCGUGUCCCUGGUGAACCAAAUUCCAUUAGGAAGACGGUGCAGUGUGAGGUGGACCUGGACCUGGAUAAAAUGGGUGUUUAACAAGUAUUUGUUGAGUAGGUGGUGGAGGAGGCACGACUAGAUGCAGGGUCUAGCUGAGUUGACAAGAGCUAACACCAGGUGUGGACCAGGACAGGGGGACCUUAAGCGAAGACACCCUGCCAGAUGUGUCUUGUUCCCUUGACUGUGGGGAGGCCCUUGGUGGUGGGGUGACGGUCCCCCAGUCUGAGGAUUUUCCCUGGAUGUAGCCUCUCAGUGCUAAAAUGGGACAGUCCCAGGCAAACCAGGUCAGUUGGUCACUCUACUCAGUGAGCCCCGUGCUGUGUUCAAAUUUUCCUCUUAACAGAUGUGGAUGGAUUUCGGAAACUUAGAAACCACCAUUUCUCUGUGCCUGGGAGGAGAGUUAAAUCUUCUCACCAGAAUCCUUUUAUGUGUGAGAGAAAUAAAUAUCUAUCCUUUUUAUAUCUCUUUUGUUUUGGAUUCUUUGUCACCAGCAGCCAAACCCAAUUCUUACAUAAACGUGAUACUAAUUAAAUUCAUUUGCAUAAACUCACCAGUUUUAUCCUUAAUUACUGUGAUAUACACUCAUGAAGUAUGUACCCUAAAAUACCACUGUAAGUUUUAUUUGAUUAC